ACCAGCAGUGUUUCAGUUUGAUCUGGUAAUUUAUUUGGCAUUCAUCUUGGCUCACUGAUAAUUCAGCAAAAACACUCCACAGCUGAGAACACUCCACUAUUGAGAAAAGGAGGUGAGCUGUGGUUGGUUGGUUUGCUUUGUUUUCAUUUUCCUUAUCUCUUGGAGUCUUUGCUCCCCAGUAACCCUUUGCUUGUACCCCAGCUCUUCCUGUAACAGUAAUGGCUACACCUCACAAAAUAUUAUGUUUGCCUUGCUAUCCCUGAGCUGAAACAUUGUCUAAACUCUGAACUAACCUUAGUGCAGUGACAAUGUGUGGAGAUUUUCCACGACCAUAAGACAGCAAGCCAUAAAGAGGUGAGAGCACAAGUAAAGGAAACCUCCUGACCUGUCCAUCAACAACAACACUUGGCUCACAGAACACUGCACAGUGUCUCUUGUCUUUUCCUUUUUCAGAGGCAAUUCCAGAACUCAGCACUCCAGACUGUCAGCCUGGUCAUUCACUGCCUGAAUGUAUCCAUGUCUCUCUUGUCUUGGGACUGCUUUUUCCACCCCUGAUGUUUAUCUUCCCAAAGUGUUUGUAGCAGGAUGUAUCAGAUGUAUCUUUGAGGAACUCUUGAGAUGUGCUUCAAAAAUGGUUUGCAGAAUCUAGGUGAACUUCAGAACUUCAUCAAAAGUGGUCAGAUUUACUACCCCAGGGUACUUUGCAAAAAUACUUUGUGAUCUAAUCAAUAAAUAAUAUUUGUAAAACA
This 749-nucleotide long non-coding RNA is filed under the name Cyanistes caeruleus (blue tit). RNAcentral describes it as "lncRNA (ENSCCEG00000009156.1)". The record is from RNAcentral. Lineage: Eukaryota; Metazoa; Chordata; Aves; Passeriformes; Paridae.